RNAcentral lists this ribosomal RNA (2905 nucleotides) under Enterobacter cloacae. RNAcentral describes it as "23S ribosomal RNA". It matches the Rfam family "Bacterial large subunit ribosomal RNA". Lineage: Bacteria; Pseudomonadati; Pseudomonadota; Gammaproteobacteria; Enterobacterales; Enterobacteriaceae. The record is from RNAcentral.
GGUUAAGCGACUAAGCGUACACGGUGGAUGCCCUGGCAGUCAGAGGCGAUGAAGGACGUGCUAAUCUGCGAAAAGCGCCGGCGAGGUGAUAUGAACCCUUGACCCGGCGAUGUCCGAAUGGGGAAACCCAGUGCAAUCCGUUGCACUAUCGUUAACUGAAUACAUAGGUUAACGAGGCGAACCGGGGGAACUGAAACAUCUAAGUACCCCGAGGAAAAGAAAUCAACCGAGAUUCCCCCAGUAGCGGCGAGCGAACGGGGAGCAGCCCAGAGUCUGAAUCAGCUUGUGUGUUAGUGGAAGCGUCUGGAAAGUCGCACGGUACAGGGUGAAAGUCCCGUACACGAAAAUGCACAGGCUGUGAACUCGAAGAGUAGGGCGGGACACGUGGUAUCCUGUCUGAAUAUGGGGGGACCAUCCUCCAAGGCUAAAUACUCCUGACUGACCGAUAGUGAACCAGUACCGUGAGGGAAAGGCGAAAAGAACCCCGGCGAGGGGAGUGAAAAAGAACCUGAAACCGUGUACGUACAAGCAGUGGGAGCACCUUCGUGGUGUGACUGCGUACCUUUUGUAUAAUGGGUCAGCGACUUAUAUUCUGUAGCAAGGUUAACCGUAUAGGGGAGCCGAAGGGAAACCGAGUCUUAACUGGGCGUUAAGUUGCAGGGUAUAGACCCGAAACCCGGUGAUCUAGCCAUGGGCAGGUUGAAGGUUGGGUAACACUAACUGGAGGACCGAACCGACUAAUGUUGAAAAAUUAGCGGAUGACCUGUGGCUGGGGGUGAAAGGCCAAUCAAACCGGGAGAUAGCUGGUUCUCCCCGAAAGCUAUUUAGGUAGCGCCUCGUGAACUCAUCUUCGGGGGUAGAGCACUGUUUCGGCUAGGGGGCCAUCCCGGCUUACCAACCCGAUGCAAACUACGAAUACCGAAGAAUGUUAUCACGGGAGACACACGGCGGGUGCUAACGUCCGUCGUGAAGAGGGAAACAACCCAGACCGCCAGCUAAGGUCCCAAAGUCAUGGUUAAGUGGGAAACGAUGUGGGAAGGCCCAGACAGCCAGGAUGUUGGCUUAGAAGCAGCCAUCAUUUAAAGAAAGCGUAAUAGCUCACUGGUCGAGUCGGCCUGCGCGGAAGAUGUAACGGGGCUAAACCAUGCACCGAAGCUGCGGCAGCGACGCUUAUGCGUUGUUGGGUAGGGGAGCGUUCUGUAAGCCGUUGAAGGUGGCCUGUGAGGGUUGCUGGAGGUAUCAGAAGUGCGAAUGCUGACAUAAGUAACGAUAAAGCGGGUGAAAAGCCCGCUCGCCGGAAGACCAAGGGUUCCUGUCCAACGUUAAUCGGGGCAGGGUGAGUCGACCCCUAAGGCGAGGCCGAAAGGCGUAGUCGAUGGGAAACAGGUUAAUAUUCCUGUACUUGGUGUUACUGCGAAGGGGGGACGGAGAAGGCUAUGUUAGCCGGGCGACGGUUGUCCCGGUUUAAGCAUGUAGGCGGAGGUUCCAGGUAAAUCCGGUACCUUUUAACGCUGAGGUGUGAUGACGAGGCACUACGGUGCUGAAGUAACAAAUGCCCUGCUUCCAGGAAAAGCCUCUAAGCAUCAGGUAACAUCAAAUCGUACCCCAAACCGACACAGGUGGUCAGGUAGAGAAUACCAAGGCGCUUGAGAGAACUCGGGUGAAGGAACUAGGCAAAAUGGUGCCGUAACUUCGGGAGAAGGCACGCUGAUAUGUAGGUGAAGCCCCUGCGGGUGGAGCUGAAAUCAGUCGAAGAUACCAGCUGGCUGCAACUGUUUAUUAAAAACACAGCACUGUGCAAACACGAAAGUGGACGUAUACGGUGUGACGCCUGCCCGGUGCCGGAAGGUUAAUUGAUGGGGUUAGCGGUAACGCGAAGCUCUUGAUCGAAGCCCCGGUAAACGGCGGCCGUAACUAUAACGGUCCUAAGGUAGCGAAAUUCCUUGUCGGGUAAGUUCCGACCUGCACGAAUGGCGUAAUGAUGGCCAGGCUGUCUCCACCCGAGACUCAGUGAAAUUGAACUCGCUGUGAAGAUGCAGUGUACCCGCGGCAAGACGGAAAGACCCCGUGAACCUUUACUAUAGCUUGACACUGAACACUGGUCCUUGAUGUGUAGGAUAGGUGGGAGGCUUUGAAGCGUGGACGCCAGUCUGCGUGGAGCCAUCCUUGAAAUACCACCCUUUAAUGGCUGGUGUUCUAACGUAGACCCGUAAUCCGGGUUGCGGACAGUGUCUGGUGGGUAGUUUGACUGGGGCGGUCUCCUCCCAAAGAGUAACGGAGGAGCACGAAGGUUAGCUAAUCCUGGUCGGACAUCAGGAGGUUAGUGCAAUGGCAUAAGCUAGCUUGACUGCGAGAGUGACGGCUCGAGCAGGUGCGAAAGCAGGUCAUAGUGAUCCGGUGGUUCUGAAUGGAAGGGCCAUCGCUCAACGGAUAAAAGGUACUCCGGGGAUAACAGGCUGAUACCGCCCAAGAGUUCAUAUCGACGGCGGUGUUUGGCACCUCGAUGUCGGCUCAUCACAUCCUGGGGCUGAAGUAGGUCCCAAGGGUAUGGCUGUUCGCCAUUUAAAGUGGUACGCGAGCUGGGUUUAGAACGUCGUGAGACAGUUCGGUCCCUAUCUGCCGUGGGCGCUGGAGAAUUGAGGGGGGCUGCUCCUAGUACGAGAGGACCGGAGUGGACGCAUCACUGGUGUUCGGGUUGUCAUGCCAAUGGCACUGCCCGGUAGCUAAAUGCGGAAGAGAUAAGUGCUGAAAGCAUCUAAGCACGAAACUUGCCCCGAGAUGAGUUCUCCCUGAGACUUAAAGUCUCCUGAAGGAACGUUAAAGACGAUGACGUUGAUAGGUCGGGUGUGUAAGCGCAGCGAUGCGUUGAGCUAACCGAUACUAAUGAACCGUGAGGCUUAACCUU